RNAcentral lists this unclassified non-coding RNA (348 nucleotides) under soil metagenome. Its description in RNAcentral is "partial contains 5.8S ribosomal RNA, internal transcribed spacer 2, and large subunit ribosomal RNA". The stretch from base 1 to 119 matches the Rfam family "5.8S ribosomal RNA", at positions 35 to 154 of the family's 154-position model. The record is from RNAcentral.
GAUGAAGAACGUAGCGAAAUGCGAUAACUAAUGUGAAUUGCAGAAUUCCGUGAAUCAUCGAGUCUUUGAACGCACAUUGCGCCCCCUGGUAUUCCGGGGUCAUGCCUGUCCGAGCGUCAUUGCUGCCCAUCAAGCACGGCUUGUGUGUUGGGUCCUCGUCCCCCCCGGGGGACGUGCCCGAAAGGCAGCGGCGGCACCGCGUCCGGUCCUCGAGCGUAUGGGGCUUUGUCACCCGCUCUGCAGGCCCGGCCGGCGCUGGCCGACGCGAAAGCAACCAUUUUUUCUCCAGGUUGACCUCGGAUCAGGUAGGGAUACCCGCUGAACUUAAGCAUAUCAAUAAGCGGAGGA